RNAcentral lists this non-coding RNA (45 nucleotides) under Trichobilharzia regenti. The record is from RNAcentral. Lineage: Eukaryota; Metazoa; Platyhelminthes; Trematoda; Strigeidida; Schistosomatidae.
CUACUGUGAAGAGUCCCAAACUAGGACGAAACGGCUGUCCAGUAC